RNAcentral lists this long non-coding RNA (237 nucleotides) under Elaeis guineensis (African oil palm). Its description in RNAcentral is "long non-coding RNA (EGUI_LNC082179)". The record is from RNAcentral. Lineage: Eukaryota; Viridiplantae; Streptophyta; Magnoliopsida; Arecales; Arecaceae.
GCAUCUAGGGCACACAUCUAACAAACUCCCACUUGACCUAAUGCCAAUUGGCUACAUAUCUAAGUCCCAUCUUCUCAAUAUGGGCUUCGAUCUUCUGUUGGCCCAAUGGCUUAGUCAGCAGGUCUGCCACAUUAUCUGUGGAGUUGACUCUCUUGACCUCGACAUAAUCCUUUUCGAGGUAAUCAUGGAUCAAAUGGAAUCACCGCUCGAUGUGCUUAGACUUCUGGUGAGACCUUG